This is a non-coding RNA of Pantherophis guttatus, 3073 nucleotides long. Lineage: Eukaryota; Metazoa; Chordata; Lepidosauria; Squamata; Colubridae. The record is from RefSeq and is a predicted model, not a curated record.
UAAAUAACUUGGGUGCUUAGCUGGGGAGUGACUUUCUGUCUUGGUUUGUCCGGCCCUGGUACUGCUGGCAUCGGCUCUCAGGGGGAAAGCUGCAGUUCUGCUGUUAAAACACAAGGAGCAGCCUGGAGAAUUUUGAGCUGCGUCACACAGCUCAGAGGGAGAGAGUGAGAGCCAGCUCUGUCGAUAGGUCUACUAGCAACAGCCUACUGCAGCAAGAGACAGAGAGAGAGAGAUCAUGCAAGAGAAGUAAUAACAACAUUGGGAAGCAUGGUUCCUUUUCAAUCCAGCAUGCUUUUUUUUUUUUUAAAGGAACAUUAUUUGGGAACUUGUUGAAGAUCAGUGGAUUUUGUCCACUGAUGGUACCGGAAAGAUGCGACGCAAUUAAUCCCGCAAAGGUGGGGGAGGCAGAUAUAGGAAGGGUUAAUGGGAGGAAAAUUCUGGAAUGUUCUGUGCUGCGGCAGAGCGAACAGAGGGUUGAGGACUGCACAGGUGUAGAUGAACAGAUCUCAUGGUUCCUCUAUUAAAUACGCUUUAAUAGUCCCAGGAAGAAUGAACAAGCAUAGUCUGCUAUUCAGAAGGAAGGAGACAUAACCAGGAAGCCAUAUCUGGAAAUGGACAUGAUACGUGAAAGGAGAAGAAGGAUAGAUGUGACAGAUACCUACCUCCUCUGAUACAUUCUCAAGCAUAACUUCGUUUUUAUUGUCUCUUCUCCGUUGUCAAGCUUUCUGCCUAAUUUGAAAUUCUUCCAUUGGAAGUGUACCACCUUCGUUUCUCCUUCUCCCCACUGAGAGUCCUUGCUCUGCAAAGCUUUCUCCUCCAGAGGCAGUCUUGCAUCCUGCGGUGCUAAUUCUGCAGAGGAGGGCAAUCAAAGAUCCAUCUGUGAUGGGAUACACUCAGGCUGAGAUUUUGCUUCUUCUGUCACGAACAAAAAAAGUAUAUGUUAAAAAUUGAUCUUGCAGUGCAUUUAUAGCAAUAUCUUGAAUCAGGUGCCAAAACAGGCUAUGGAGUCUGAAGACAAUGUCUGAUAGCUGCCAUCACAUCACUUCUGCUGUAAAAUAAGAUUUGCUAGUCUUUAAUGCCAUCAAAAACAGAUGUGGUAAAAACGAACUCAUUGAUUCAAUAUCCUCUCUACUAAGGACUCAAUUCAAAGGUUCAGAGAUGGCUAUCACAACCUAGAGCUCCAUCUUUUGUAUUACUAUGGUCUGCAUCCUCAUACUUGAAAGUCCCAGGAGAAGAACAUGCAUCUGAAUGUAUUCUCUUCUAAUUGGAGCCAGGGACUACAAUGGCUUUCUACUACAGUAAAAGAACUACAGAAGAAUUAAACUAAAGAAGAUGAUAAUGAUGAACAAAGUCAAAACUUUAAGAAAGUAGUUUGGUUAGAUGCUUGUGGCUUACUACAAGAGAUAACCAAAUGGUAAGUGCUAUAGGAAUAAUUUUGAUAUACAGGUAGUCCUUAUUUAACUACUACCCUGUUUAGCGACCAUUCAAAGUUAUGAUUGUGGUCUUUUACUUAAUGAGCAUUGUGGUGUUCCUAUGGUCACAUGAUUGAGACUCAGGCAUUUCACAAUCAGCAUUUGCAAAUACUGCAGUGUCCCACAGUCAUAUGAUCACCUGCUUGCAAGCUUCACAGUUGGCUUUCGGCAAAGAGAAUCAAUGGAGAAGCUGGCAAUGAAACGCAAGUUACAGUCUUGUCUCACUUAAUGGCUACAGGUUAAUUUUCAUUUAACAACCACAGCAGAAGUGAGCUUGUAAUUCCAUCAUGUGAUGUGAUGCUUUGCUUAACAUCACACUGUUAAUGAUGGAGUUGCCACUCCCUGUUGUGGUCCUUGUCAGAAAAGCCAAUGCUUGUGGUAGAGAAUAAAGGAGAAUAUUUGGUUGACGUGAGGGGUCCUUGGUGCUCUCUGACCUUGCUUGUUUCCUUGCACACUUUUCAUUGCCCUAAUUAGGUGACAUCAUCAGUGCUAGUAAGGAGUGCUGUUUGCUGUCAGUUCAUAUUCUGGUGACUUGCCUGUCUGUGUGGGUAAGAGUGGUCUUAGAGAUUCUUUGGUUGGGCUGUUUACUGAUGCCUCUUUGGCAAUUUUUUGAUUGGGGUAUUGUUUACUUGACUGUUGGUGUGAAGUGAAGCUUGGAAUUAACUGUUGAUCUAGGUGCUGAUUACUGGUGGAGAUGUGCUGGAGUCCUUUUGUUCUCUUUUGGGCUGGUUGAUUGUCUCUUUUGCAUAGUCUAUAGAUGUUGUUAAUGUCUAUGUGUCUAUGGAUGGCUGAUUUGUCAGAGUGCCAGACUUCUAGAAAUUCUCUGGCAUUUUUGGACUUGGCCUGAGGAGUAUCACAUUUUCCCAAUUGAAACUAUGGUUAAAUCUGUUUAUUGUUGUGAAAUUAAAUAAUUUUCUUCAUGUCUUCUGCGGAUCCAAAAUACCUGGAAGAGCAGUAACUUGAGGAGAAUUAAAAACUAAUAAGGAAAAUGAUUUUCUUAAUUGGUUCUAUGCUUUGUUAUGUCACUCUCCUUUUUCUUUUUUAUACUCCCUGAACUUUUGAGGUCCAUUCUGGGAACCAAUUCACUGUAGGAGUGGUAGCUCCCCUUCAUUGGAUAUGCUUAAGUUGAUGCUAGUCAGGCAUUUUGGGGAAUGUUUGAAUUUCUGUCUUAAGAAGAAGAUUGGAUUCUGUCACCUAAUAACAUUUCUCAUUUUUAUUUUGGGAUAAUAUAUGAUAUCCAGAGUAAGCUUGGGAAAUAUACAUUGGAAGGAAUAAUUUGUUCUGAUAGUAGAAAAUUCUACUGGACACAGUUAAUUUUAAUAUGCUAUAGUAAUGUUUGUUUUUAUAUGCUGUACAUCUAAAUAGGAAAUGCAAGCUUCCCAUGCUAAUAAAUAAUUUAAUGUUAUACUUCUUUCUUAAAUCUAUUUCUUUACCAGAUAGAAUAUUCUCAGUUUUUAAGUAUUACGUUGAGUGAAAUGUUGCUACCUAUUUUUGCUAUUGUAUGUAUUAAACAAAAACAAAAGAAUUUCCUUCUAGGAAACUUGCUGGACAACUUCCUCUAAAAUGCAUAGAUGCUGAACAUGGAAACAACAAUGUGUCUU